GGACAGUAACGUCAUGGUCACCAU
RNAcentral lists this microRNA (24 nucleotides) under Camellia sinensis. RNAcentral's name for it is "microRNA miR1864". Lineage: Eukaryota; Viridiplantae; Streptophyta; Magnoliopsida; Ericales; Theaceae. The record is from RNAcentral.